AACCCUUGUCCUUAGUUGCCAGCGAGUAAUGUCGGGAACUCUAAGGAGACUGCCGGUGACAAACCGGAGGAAGGUGGGGAUGACGUCAAGUCAUCAUGGCCCUUACGGCCAGGGCUACACACGUACUACAAUGGUGGGGACAGAGGGUCGCGAAGCCGCGAGGUGGAGCCAAUCCCAGAAACCCCAUCCUAGUCCGGAUCGGAGUCUGCAACUCGACUCCGUGAAGUCGGAAUCGCUAGUAAUCGCAGAUCAGUCAUUGCUGCGGUGAAUACGUUCCCGGGCCUU
Molecule: ribosomal RNA, 285 nt
Filed under: uncultured Arenimonas sp.
Lineage: Bacteria; Pseudomonadati; Pseudomonadota; Gammaproteobacteria; Lysobacterales; Lysobacteraceae
Description: partial 16S ribosomal RNA
Rfam family: Bacterial small subunit ribosomal RNA
Source: RNAcentral